This 377-nucleotide ribosomal RNA is filed under the name uncultured bacterium. Its description in RNAcentral is "bacterial SSU rRNA". It matches the Rfam family "Bacterial small subunit ribosomal RNA", at positions 521 to 896 of the family's 1533-position model. The record is from RNAcentral.
UAAUACGUAGGUGGCAAGCGUUGUCCGGAUUUACUGGGCGUAAAGAGCGCGCAGGCGGCCGAGUAAGUCGAAUGUGAAAGCCCCCGGCUCAACUGGGGAAGGUCAUUCGAUACUGUUCGGCUCGAAGAUAGGAGAGGGAAGCGGAAUUUCAGGUGUAGUGGUGAAAUGCGUAGAUAUCUGAAGGAACACCAGUGGCGAAGGCGGCUUUCUGGCCUAUUCUUGACGCUGAGGCGCGAAAGCUAGGGGAGCGAACGGGAUUAGAUACCCCGGUAGUCCUAGCCGUAAACGAUGAACACUAGAUGUUGGUGGUAUCAACCCCGCCAGUGUCGUAGCUAACGCAUUAAGUGUUCCGCCUGGGGAGUACGGCCGCAAGGCUA